AAACCAACUGGGAUUACCUUAGUAACGGCGAGUGAAGCGGUAAAAGCUCAAAUUUGAAAUCUGGUACUUUCAGUGCCCGAGUUGUAAUUUGUAGAAUUUGUCUUUGAUUAGGUCCUUGUCUAUGUUCCUUGGAACUAGGACGUCAUAGAGGGUGAGAAUCCCGUUUGGCGAGGAUACCUUUUCUCUGUAAGACUUUUUCGAAGAGUCGAGUUGUUUGGGAAUGCAGCUCAAAGUGGGUGGUAAAUUCCAUCUAAAGCUAAAUAUUGGCGAGAGACCGAUAGCGAACAAGUACAGUGAUGGAAAGAUGAAAAGAACUUUGAAAAGAGAGUGAAAAAGUACGUGAAAUUGUUGAAAGGGAAGGGCAUUUGAUCAGACAUGGUGUUUUUUGCAUGCACUCGCCUCUCGUGGGCUUGGGCCUCUCAAAAAUUUCACUGGGCCAACAUCAAUUCUGGCAGUAGGAUAAAUCAUUAAGAAUGUAGCUACCUCGGUAGUGUUAUAGCUUAUUGGAAUACUGCUAGCUGGGAUUGAGGACUGCGCUUCGGCAAGGAUGUUGGCAUAAUGGUUAAAUGCCGCCCG
RNAcentral lists this ribosomal RNA (576 nucleotides) under Hanseniaspora opuntiae. RNAcentral describes it as "eukaryotic LSU rRNA". It matches the Rfam family "Eukaryotic large subunit ribosomal RNA", at positions 62 to 651 of the family's 3401-position model. Lineage: Eukaryota; Fungi; Ascomycota; Saccharomycetes; Saccharomycodales; Saccharomycodaceae. The record is from RNAcentral.